UGUUGGGAUCAUUAUCAUCAUCAUCAUCAUCUUCAUCAUCUUCGUCUGUGUGUCUGUGUACUACAGCAGGGUGAAAGCUCUCAGAUGUGCCUCGAACUCCACUGAAAAGGUGGAGAGUUUACAGAAACAUGGCAACCCUCCCUGCCUACUUUGGGUCACUGUCAUUUUAAAGGAUGGAAACACACAUCAUCACAGUGUUCAGUACAACACAACGUCCGACAGUGUGAUGUACACAACAGUCAACACACAAACACAGAGUUAAUGACCAACACAAGAUGGUCUGCUCUGAUCUCAUCAUGGAUUUCAGAUCAUCUUAAACUUCAUCCCUGAGUCACAGCUGAUGUUCAUCUCUGGAGCUUCAUCACCAUGUCAGGAUCUUCUGAUUUACUGCAGAACUCUCAGUUCACACAUCAUGGACCAUCAGUUACUCUUCUAUCUAACCUGACUUGGUCUUUGUCAUGUGAUGUUACACUAAAUAAUGAACUGAGAACAGCUUUAAUUUUUACAUUUACAUUUCUACACGUAAAUCUUAAUAUUACUAUUUUUAUAAGAUUUUAUCCUCAUCAAGACAAAAAAGAAAAACCCUACAAGGAAUUAAAUAUCAAAACGAACAAUUACAAUAGGAACAUAAAAUAAAUAAGUAAAAUAAAAAAUAUAAAAUAAAGAUUACAUAAUAAUAAACUUCAAUUAGAUAAUAUUUUGAUAAUACAGUAAUAACUGCAGCAAUUCAGUGUUCUUUAAACUUGUUUUUCUCCAAAGUUAUUCUGCUGUAAAGUCCACUUGAUCGCAGAAGUGUAGAAAGUUAGUCCAGAUUUUAUAAAAGUAAUUUAACUUCCCUUUGAUAGCAAAUGUCAGUUUUUCCAAAGCAAGGUUUAAGGACAUUUCCUUGAUCCAUUGGUUAGAAAAAUGUCUUUGAGUGUCUUUCCACUUUAAUGCAAUGACACGUUUGGCCUGUAGAAAACUAAAGUCUAUUAGUUUACGUUUUCUUGCAUUUACGACCAGAUUUAUUGGGUAUAGAUGGAAUACAUACAGUUUUAGUUUAAGAGGAACAUUAUCUCCAAUUAACUGACCGAUCAUAGUAAGAAUUUCCUUCCAAAAUGUUUGAAGCUCUUUACAGUCCCAUACACAGUGGGAAAGUUUACCAACUUCAUCUUUGCACUUUGUACAGUUGUCAGGGAUAUUGGGAUUGAACCUAUUUGAUUUUACAAGAGUAAUGUACUGUAUGUCCUUAAAAGCUAUUUGUAUUGCAGUAGUUUGCACCUUGUGUUAAUGCUCUGGGUUUGAGCAAACAGACGAUUCUUCCCAUUCUUCUUUCGAAAUAUCUUCCUGCAGAUCAUUUUUCCAUGCUGCCAAGUAAGAUAAAGAAUUAUCUUUUGAUCCCUCUAAGAGUAUGUUAUAAAACAAUGAUAAAUUGACCCUAGCAUUUGGCAGUGGCAGCUUGGUGGAGCUGGGGUUCGAACCCAUGACCUUCCGAUUAGUAGCCCUACACCUUAACCACUGUGCUUCCACAUCCCACAGUCCCAUACACAGUGGGAAAGUUUACCAACUUCAUCUUUGCACUUUGUACAGUUGUCAGGGAUAUUGAGAUUGAACCUAUUUAAGUUUACAUGAGUACUGUACUGUAUGUUUGAGAAAAUAGUAUU
This is a long non-coding RNA of Tachysurus fulvidraco (yellow catfish), 1643 nucleotides long. RefSeq lists it as uncharacterized. NCBI's taxonomy places the organism in Eukaryota, Metazoa, Chordata, Actinopteri, Siluriformes, Bagridae. The transcript is spliced from 5 exons. The record is from RefSeq and is a predicted model, not a curated record.